RNAcentral lists this long non-coding RNA (286 nucleotides) under Arabidopsis lyrata. RNAcentral describes it as "long non-coding RNA (ALYR_LNC003140)". Lineage: Eukaryota; Viridiplantae; Streptophyta; Magnoliopsida; Brassicales; Brassicaceae. The record is from RNAcentral.
AUUCAGUUGGGGAAUAUGAAGUUAGUAAAUUUGAAUUUAUUCCACAGGUUCGGUGAUAACUCAAGUGUAACAAUUCAUCUUAACCAAUGUAGGGGAAUAAUAAGUCAAAACAGCCUAACAAGUGUGGAAGAUGUGGAGGUGUAGGUCACAAUCGGGUUACGUGUACCAACCCACUUGGUUGACGCUAUGGAAUGUAAGAAAGAUGUGUAAUGCCUUUUUGGGAGUUUGUCUUAUCAAUGGAGGAGGAUUUUGGCAGGGGUCGUUUUUUGGUAUGUUAAAAUGUAUU